GUCUACAGCUAUGCCACCGUGAACAAGCCCAAUUCUGUCUGAUCUCGGAAGCUAAGCAGGGUCAGGCCUGGUUAGUCUUGGAUGGGAGACCUCCUAGAAAGACAAAGUGCUGUAGGUG
This 118-nucleotide ribosomal RNA is filed under the name Pteropus alecto (black flying fox). The record is from RNAcentral. Lineage: Eukaryota; Metazoa; Chordata; Mammalia; Chiroptera; Pteropodidae.